RNAcentral lists this ribosomal RNA (494 nucleotides) under uncultured bacterium. RNAcentral's name for it is "partial 16S ribosomal RNA". It matches the Rfam family "Bacterial small subunit ribosomal RNA", at positions 28 to 507 of the family's 1533-position model. The record is from RNAcentral.
GACGAACGCUGGCGGCGCGCUUAGCGCAUGCAAGUCGAACGGAAAGGCCUGCUUUCCCUUGUGGAUUGCGGGUACUCGAGUGGCGAACGGGUGAGUAACACGUGAGUGAUCUGCCCCCAACUUGGGUAUAAGCCUGGGAAACUGGGUCUAAUUCCCGAUAGGACUGCAGGGUGGUGCCUGUGGUGGAAAACGAUUUUCUAGUGGUUGGGGAUGAGCUCGCGGCCUAUCAGCUUGUUGGUGGGGUAAUGGCCUACCAAGGCGGCGACGGGUAGCCGGCCUGAGAGGGUGGACGGCCACAUUGGGACUGAGAUACGGCCCAGACUCCUACGGGAGGCAGCAGUGGGGAAUAUUGCACAAUGGGCGGAAGCCUGAUGCAGCGACGCCGCGUGGGGGAUGACGGCCUUCGGGUUGUAAACCCCUUUCGACCGCGAGGAAGCCACCUGGUUGGAAGGGUGGUGACGGUAGUGGUAGAAGAAGCACCGGCUAACUACGUG